UUAGUUCUUAGUCACUCUGACUUACUGCCUACUUGUUAAUAUAGUCAGUGAGCUAAGAACCUAGA
RNAcentral lists this microRNA precursor (65 nucleotides) under Haplochromis burtoni (Burton's mouthbrooder). RNAcentral describes it as "microRNA abu-mir-148b precursor". Its record names the gene abu-mir-148b. Lineage: Eukaryota; Metazoa; Chordata; Actinopteri; Cichliformes; Cichlidae. The record is from miRBase by way of RNAcentral.